This 72-nucleotide transfer RNA is filed under the name Actinomycetes bacterium. RNAcentral's name for it is "tRNA-Gln". It matches the Rfam family "tRNA". Rfam says of the family: Transfer RNA (tRNA) molecules are approximately 80 nucleotides in length. The record is from RNAcentral. Lineage: Bacteria; Bacillati; Actinomycetota; Actinomycetes. RNAcentral also lists the same sequence under 1 other name.
UCCCCGUUGGUGUAAUUGGCAACACAGCGGCCUUUGGAGCCGUAGUUCGAGGUUCGAGUCCUCGACGGGGAG